GAUGAACGCUGGCGGCGUGCCUAAUACGUGCAAGUCGAGCGAACGGACGAGAAGCUUGCUUCUCUGAUGUUAGCGGCGGACGGGUGAGUAACACGUGGAUAACCUACCUAUAAGACUGGGAUAAUUUCGGGAAACCGGAGCUAAUACCGGAUAAUAUUUUGAACCGCAUGGUUCAAAAGUGAAAGACGGUCUUGCUGUCACUUAUAGAUGGAUCCGCGCUGCAUUAGCUAGUUGGUAAGGUAACGGCUUACCAAGGCAACGAUGCAUAGCCGACCUGAGAGGGUGAUCGGCCACACUGGAACUGAGACACGGUCCAGACUCCUACGGGAGGCAGCAGUAGGGAAUCUUCCGCAAUGGGCGAAAGCCUGACGGAGCAACGCCGCGUGAGUGAUGAAGGUCUUCGGAUCGUAAAACUCUGUUAUUAGGGAAGAACAUAUGUGUAAGUAACUGUGCACAUCUUGACGGUACCUAAUCAGAAAGCCACGGCUAACUACGUG
This 497-nucleotide ribosomal RNA is filed under the name uncultured bacterium. RNAcentral describes it as "partial 16S ribosomal RNA". It matches the Rfam family "Bacterial small subunit ribosomal RNA", at positions 28 to 507 of the family's 1533-position model. The record is from RNAcentral.